GAGCGACUGAACUGAACUGAACUGAUAUGUACUGUGUAUGCAUAUUUCCUUUUUUUUUUCUAACUAGAGAAAUUUGUUGGUAAGAACUUUUAAUCUGAUUCUAAAGUCUGAAUCUUAGCUCCCCGUUUGGGUGACAUCAAAACUCAAGUCUUGUUCCUGUUUUCAUUAAGAACUCCAUUCAUUUAUAUUUAGGUAGCCGGCAUACGAUAAGCACAGGGCUGAUACAAAAAGAAAAAGUAUAUAAUGGAGACAAAUACACAGACCAAUCAUUAUUGUUUUAUAAACAAAGGAAUUGCUAUUUGGGAGAUUAAGAAAUGUGCCCAAGGUAACCCAGCAAGAAUCAAGGGUCAAAUCUCAAUCUAAAUGUCUUCCAACUAUUCCCAGAGCUGAAACACACCAAGAGCUGUAAAGGAAAUGUGAUGGUUAAUUUUAUGUGUCAACUUGGCUAAGCUGUGGUACACAGUUGCUUGAUCAGACACUAGUUUAGAUACUGUGGUGAUAAUAUUUUGUAGAUGUAAUUAAUAUUCAUAUGCAGUUACCAUUAAGUAAAGAAGAUUAUCCUUAAUAGUGUGGGUGGGGCUCAUCCAAUCAGUUGAAGAUCUUAAGAGCAAAAUUAGGUUUUCAAAGAAGGAAUUUUGCCUCAACACUGUAACACAGAAAUCCUGUCAGCCUGCCCUUCAGAUUUCAGACUUAAGAUUGCAACAUCGACUCUGCCUGUGUUUCCGGCUUGCUGACCUGCACUACAGACUUUGGACUUGGCAGCCCCCACAACUGCAUGAGCCAACUGUUUAAAAUGUUUCUCUCUAUGUAUGCAUCCUACUGGCUUUUGUUUCUCUGGAGAACCCUCACGGAUACAAGAAGCCAUAGCUAAGUACAGAGCAACUAAUCCUGGGAAAGUACCUCUUAUUCCACAAAGGAACAAGAAAGAAGGAGUUUCCAUUUCUACAGUCAGUGAAAGAAGGGUGUUCAGAAGUGGCCCACAGGAGAUGACUCUUCAGGCUCCUUUCAAUGAAUCUGCAGUAACCUGCCAAACAUGAACUCUUCAUUUCUGCCAUGAACCCUGAGGAAAAAGCAUGGCAUGGCAACAAACCAGAUGAUCAUACUGAAAGCUGUGGCACGGAUAUUCAGCAUGAGUACUGCACAAAGGAACAGGCUGAGUAACACUUCGAACUUUAAAAGGCUAACAGUUCCAAACUUAUGGUUGCUGGGGUAAAGGACAGUUGGGGAGUUUGGGGUGGACAUGUACACAUUUUAAAUACACUGCCGUAUUUAAAAUGGAUAAUGAACAAGGACCUACUGUAUAGCACAGGGAACUCUGCUCAGUGUAUGUGGCAGCCUGGAUGGGAGGGGCGUUUCAGGGAGAAUGGACACAUGUAUAUGUACGGCUGAGUCCCUCUGCUGCUCACCCAAAACUAUCACAACAUUGUUAAUCAGUUAUACUCCAAUACAAACUAAAAAGUUUAAAAAUAAAUCAAUUAAAAAAUACAAGAUUAACAGUUCCAACCUCUGAUUAUUCAGACAGUUUAUUCCUGAUCACAGUAUGGAUAAGAGACUACACUUCAGUCACGCUGCAAAUUCUCUUUUGUAGGCAAAGCAGCUUUUGAGGUUAUCCUUGAAUCAGUCUGCCAUGAUAUCCUAAUAUUCCAAAAGUGGUGACAUUUGUAAGAGUGAGCAUAAUGCAGCAGAAAAAGCAUGAGCUUCGCAGACAUGUAAUCCUGGGCUAGAGGACCAGCUUGGUCCUCUACUGGCCUGUAACCCACAGCAAGUUACACUCAGGGCCGGAACACAGUAAGAAAUCAUGGUUGUCUGCCCUUCUCUUUCUUGGCAAAUAACCCAUCGUACUUCUUAGAUAUUCCACAGUGCUUUUAUGAUACUUCAGCACCUCUCAUGCUUUUUAUUAUUCCCUUUAAUUAAAGUAAGGGCCUUGCCACCAGCUCCUCAAACCAAGGGACCCUGCCACCAGCUCCAUGUAACUAUGUCUGCAGGGGAGCCCAGGAGGGAGGUGAGGCAGUGAUGCUGACAGGUCUCCAGCCUCUCACUUCAUGUGCUGGUGUGCCCCCGUCAGGACCCUCACCACAUCAGGGAGAACAGCACUCUGUGACUCCCUAGGAACACUGCCGGUGGGUUCAUCAGUCAUUUGAGAAUGCUGAUGCACUUCAAAGUAUCAGGUGGUGUUCAGAAGAUAUACUGACAUGUCCAGAUACUACAAAGACCAGAAAAAAUCAACUAAAUAAAUCUUCAGAUGAAUCUAAUGUAAAGUAAUGAACAUUACUUUUACUAUACUUUUAAAAAUUCUGUCUUAUGUCUCAAGGACAUCUAUUUACAUGUUUGGGGUUAUGUUCUAUCCGUAUAAACUAUUCUGUAUCGUGUCAGUCAACCACAGCGUAGGAGUCUAGUAAUUAAUUAAUCUUUGAAGAAGUGCAUCUUGACCAGAGACUGUGAGAAUGUCAACAAAUAAUGAGGAAAUAAAGCGAGUGGGUCAAGGUUCUGAUAACUGAAGCCAAGAAGCAGCCUGGGAAAUUAUUGAGCAGUAAGCUCCCAGGAAACCUGCACUGAGAAAAGCAGCAAACCAUCAUAAGAAUAACACCUGGGAUAAUUACAUGUAUAGUCCAAACAGUAGCACAGGACCCUAAACCUGACUCUAAGGGGAAAGAGAAAGCGAAAGUCACUCAGUCGUGUCCAACUCUUCGCGACCCCAUGGACUAUACAGUCCAUGGAAUUCUCCAGGCCAGAAUACUGGAGUGGGUAGCUGUUCCCUUCUCCAGGGGAUCUUCCCAACCCAGGGAUCAAACCCAGGUCUCCCGCAUUGCAGGCAGAUUAUUUACCAGCUGAGGCACCAGAGAAGCCCUGACCCAGAGGUAAAUGAGAACAACUAAACAGGAGAGGGUGCUUUUUUCCAUCUCAAUGAGAGAGACAAGGGAGGACGAAAUGGCAGAGAAAAAGCAUGAAAGCAACAGGGUGGAAAAUACCUGGUGACACUAGGUAUGGUAUUAAGAUUAUUGAAUUACAGUCCAUUAGAAAUAGACUACUGAAACAACAAAAACAGGCAGUGGAUUUAGGAAAGAUCAGAACAUGAGAGUUUUAUUUUUGUUUUACAGUGGGAUAAAACUAAAAAGUUCAAUACAGUAAAAAAAAAAAAAAAAGACCUGCUGACUUUACUGAUUUCAAGAAAGUCUUCCAUAUGAUCUUACAAAGACAGGAUGUCAAUCAAAAUCAAUGGGUCAUUCAAACCCAGUGUGUAUAACAUUCCAGAAGUAUUUGAGGAAUUCUGAGGAACACAAGAGAGUUCUAAAAACCUGAGACCCACAUGGGGAUAAAAUAAGAAUGCAUCCUGAGCAAAUUUUAUAUAUUUCUGUUAUUCUCUUUUACUUACUUUUAUCAUUCUUCUGAAAAAUUCACUCAAGAGAACAGAAGAAGGGCUCACACACACACACAAAAAGACUAUAUACAGUCUUACUUUUGGAGAGUGACAGCUGUUGCAAGACAAGGAGAGAAACUUGCAAUAUAAUCUCAGAUUGUAAAACUGGGAACUCCCCAGUCAUAGGGGCAACAAGACUGACAAGUGCAUGAGCGCAGUGAUCCCCAGGGAAUAAAAUCACCCAGACAUGUAGGAGAAAUCCCGGCCAGACAUUGAGCACUUAAGAGCUGCUGAACUCAUGAUGACGCCAACCAGAUGAAGAGCUAAUCUUAUCAUCUUAGUUGUCAUUUGACUCUUGUUCUAUGAAAAUGUAAUUCUAAUAACACCAAAAUAAGUACAUUCUUUAACUUCUCGAAUUUAAGAAGGCAAGGCCGUCCCUGAAAAUGCCUGUGAACCCUGUGCUGCUGCUGCUGCUGCUAAGUCGCUUCAGUCAUGACCAACUCUGUGCAACCCCAUAGAUGGUAGCCCACCAGGCUUUGCCAUCCCUGGGAUAACAGACCAUAAAACUCCUUUACUAAAAGAAAUGUUGAGAGUGAAUAAUUCACGUACUCUUCUGGAGGUGAUGUUCUAGGAAGGCUGUAAAUGGACUGAUUUCUGCUCAAACACAGGGGAAAGGGGAAUCUUAUUCACUGUAGUCUUAGUGUCUUGUAUCUGGCAUGACGCCGAGCACUUAAAAGGAGUCCAACAGGACUUGCCUGGUGGCGCAGUGAAUAAGAAUCCACUGAGAAUGCAGGGAACACGGGAAGACCCCACAUGCCGCAGAGCAGUUAAGUCUGCGCCACAACACUGAGCUCAUGCACUCUAGGGUUUGUGCUCUGCAACAAGGAAAGCCACCGCAAUGAGAAGCCUGUGCACCGCAACUAGAGUAGCCCCCACUUGCCCCAACUAGAGAAAGUCCAUGUGCAGCAGCGAAGACCCAGCACAGCCAAAAAUGAAUAAAUAAAAUAAUAAAAAAAAUUUUUUAAGAAUAAAAUGAAUUUUAAAAAAAGGAGUCCAACAAAUCUUUGUUAACUAGGGGAAGAGAUCACAGUUAGCAUCUUCUGAGCAGUGACCCUACACCAGCAAUGUGCAUAUGGAGAUUCAUCUAGUCCACACAAGAGCCCUAGAAGGCAAAUGCCACUCUCACUCCCAUUUGACACCUGAGGAAACUGAAGAAGAGAGAAGCUAAAGUAACCUGGACGAGGGAGGUCAGACUGGCUCCACAGCCUCCGUGACGGCUCCUCCAUUCACUGCAGUCCUCUCCACGUGAGAGCGGAUGGCUGGGGGGAGCAAAGUGGCCAAGCAAGGGCCAGGCUCUAAGCUCUAUGGGAAUGAUGGAUGAAGAGAGGACAAAUGAAGAGAUGAGAGGACAAAUUAGGCGUUGCAGAAGACUGAGUUCAAACUAAAAGGCUGUCUGUGAGGUCCGGUGAGGCAAAGUGCCAGGAGUAGAGAUGCUCAGCUGUGACGGUGGACUCUAAGAACUUCCCAGCACUUGGCAUGAUCAGUGACCUCAAGGAAGAAAAGCUAUGACAAACCUAGACAGCAUAUUAAAAGGCAGAGACAUCACUUUACUGACAAAUGUCUGUAUAGGCAAAGCUAUGGUUUUUCCAAUGGUUAGGUACAGAUGUAAGAGCUGGACCAUAUAGCAGGUUGAGUGCUGAAGAACUGAUGCUUUUGAACUAUGAUAUUGGAGAAGACUCUUGAGAGUCCCCUGGAGAGCAAGGAGAUCAAACCAGUCAAUCCUAAAGGAAAUCAACCCUGAAUAUUCAUUGGAAGGACUGAUGCUAAAACUCAAGCUCCAAGACUUUGGCCAGCUGAUGAGAAGAGCCAACUCAUCGGAAAAGACCCUAAUGCUGGGAAACUGAGGGCAGGAGAAGGGGAUGACAGAGGAUGAAAUGGUUGGAUGGCAUCACCAACUCAAUGGACAGGAGUUUGAGCAAACUCCAGGAGAUGGUGAAGGACAGGGAAGCCUGGUAUGCUGCAGUCCAUGAGGUUGCAAAGAGUCAGACACGACUUAGUGACUGAACGACAGAUGGGAAAUCUCAAAAGGGAACUAUUAAAACAAAAAUGGAAAUUGCAAAACUGAAAAAUAAGAUUUUCAUAUUCACUUAGAUAGGCAAAAUAACAGAAAGGACAUGAUAGAGUCAAGAUUACUUAACAGAAAUUAUAGUCUGUAUAAUUAAUCAACAGAAAUUAUACAAACAGAGGGAAAAUGAUUGGAAAAAAUGAACAGAGCCUUAGGAAUCUGUGAG
Long non-coding RNA from Capra hircus (goat), 5649 nucleotides. NCBI's taxonomy places the organism in Eukaryota, Metazoa, Chordata, Mammalia, Artiodactyla, Bovidae. The record is from Ensembl.